GGGCGUGUCUGGCGGAGCCGCGGGGCCUGUUGGGAAGGGGCUGGGGGGCUGCGUCCGGGUGUGCACCGCGCCCCCGCGUCCCGGCCACGGUCGCAGUCCCCGACGCGCUACAGGCACUGAGGCCUCUGUGGUUUUCCCCAGGGUCUGAAGACUAAACGCUGCUCUGGUCCGACAGCUGGGCUACGGGUCUGUCCGGGGUCGGUCCGCCCUGCCCGCCCAGAGCUGCAAGCCCCUGCGCCUUGCCGCGGGACCUGCGGGCUUUGUUCGCUUUGCAGCCCUGGCCUUCAGCAGCAGCGGAGCCCGGGGCCCGGUCCCGAAGGUCAGCUGUUCUGUGGAUGUACCUCCGGACCUGCAAGAGGCUCGCCGGCUUAUAACGAAGUUCGCAUAUUAGAUUCUUGACCCCGAUUUCAUCACCAGGAGGAAAAGAGACUUACGGUAGUGCUCUGUGCCGCAGCCUAGGCCGGGCCAGGGGAAUUCUGGUCUUUGUUCGAGGAUGGACAGCACCUUCUUAGCUGCAACUGUGCAAAGAGAGUCCAGUUCUCAGUUCCUAACCCCUCAGCAUCCCCAGUCUGGACGCCCUUCUGGUCAGGUGUUGAAUUUCGCUCCUGCAGCCAGUAUCCAAUCCUGCCACCCUUGUGGCUAACUCCCUACAGAGGCUUCGAGGUUGAUAUUUUUCUUUCCAGCUCUGGCAGGUGUAACAUCUUCACGUGGCCUGGAUCUGGGUCCCGCUGAAGGAGAAAGACCUGGAAUGGGGUGUCAGGCAUUCUGACGUCAAAGGAGUGUUUUCCACAAAGUGGGCCCGGACAGAUGUGCUAGGCAGGGCGGACAGUGACAGCAGGGACGGCAAUGGAGUCCCAAGACGGCUCCAAGCCUGGACAUCCUCAUCAGCGGGGCAACAGACAGCCUCUCACACUGCUGCAGGAGGAGGUGGAAAUGGCCCCCAGUGGGCCAGUCAGCCACAGAGAGAACUGCUCCAAGUUGCUCAUCACCAGGCCUCCCUGGGGCCCCGCCUCGCCUAAAGCUGGGGAAAGCAGACUGGGCAUGUUUCCCUGGAACAGAGCUCAGAGAUGUCUGGUGCCCUGAGGAUAAAUCUGGAUCCACUGGGACUUUGAUAUGCUUGGGCCGUGGGCAGGCACCUCAGGCCAAGAUGAAAUCUGUGCAUUUGGGGUAGAUCUGAAAAUGAACAGCACAUUUCCAGGAUGGGAGCAGACAUGGAGAAGAUGUGUGGGGAUUGUAGGGCCAGCGGGAUUCCUGGGGACACUCUGCCACCUGCCUCUAUGUGAUAAGGCCUGAGCAUCCUAGGCAGGGCCUGAGUGCCUGCUUCCCAGGACACUGAACUGCCACCAGGACUCUGGAACUCUACCAGAGGUCUUCAGAGCGGGAGACCAUGGGGUUGACUGGCUAGAAAGCAGGGAGGAAACCACACCAGGAGGAGGACCAGAGAGGAGUCAACAUGAUCAGGGCGUCCCCUCCUCAGCCCCUGUGGUUCGGGGGUGGAUGCCUCACCUGGCCUGACUGGAGCCUGUGAGCACCCGUCCAGGACAGAGGCUGGAAUUCUGGAAUGGGAUGCAGUCUCCCUGGCAGUGCUGAGCUGUGAGCACUGCACCUGUCAGCGGCCGCCUCUGCCUGGCAGUGAUGCCAGCCCGGAGAGGGAGAAGCGAGUGAAUGAAGAUGCUUGAACACCAGGAUCCAGCCGGGUCUGAAAUGGUCCACUUCUGUGCUUUUGGUUGGGUGAACCAAGACAUUUCAUUUUUAGCUUUGAGUUUCUGUCACCUGAGGCUGAGCCUCCUGACCACAGGCACAAGCAUAACAUACGAACCUCGGGCCUGGCCCACAGUUCCACAGAGGAGGGUGUCUGGACAGUCCAGGGACUGCCCAAAACCCAGCCCUGCUCAGAUGCCUCCCUGGUUCCCAGCCCCUCUUGGACCAGGGGCUCCAGGUCCCCAUGCACUAGCCCCACACACCUCUGCACCCGCAUCUUCCUACAGUUCCCAGGAUGCCAGCCACAUCCCUAGGGCCAUGCUUUUCCCUCUGCCUGAAGUCGCCUGCUUCACCUCCUCUCCGAAGCCUCGUGUGCCUCCUCACAAUCUCAUGCUCACCCUGGGGACACGUGGGACCACCGGGUCAUCACUUGUCUGCACAGACAGCUCCAAGGCCCCUGGUGUCACCUCUGUGCUGUCACCUCCUUUCUGUCCAGCAGAGGGAGCUCUGAAUCAGGAGUUAGAUCCUUGGUGCUCACCUCCCAGCUCCCCAGGGACCUGCCUCAGUUUCCCCAGCUGGGAGGCAGCAUGUGGAAGGCAGUGCCAGAGGGGCUCACCCCACCUGGUGGGCAUUCUGUAACUUGUGGGCUGCUGUGUCCAGCAGGUGCUGCUAUUGAACCCUUGAAAUUGAGGAACUGCACUUUCAGUUUUAUUUAAUUAAAUUCCAAUGGACACACGCAGCUAGUGGCCAAUGUCUUUGACGGCCAAACUCAGACUCCAGGCAGUGAUACUCAACGCUGGUCCUCCACACUCCCAGAAAGCUUUAAUUAACACACAUGUCUACCCCCCUGCCCCCACCUGCCCCCAACAGAGAAAUUGAAGUAGUCUGGGGUGGAGUUGGUGACCUGCAUGUCCAGGAGGCCUCUGGUUGAGUCUGAAACUUCCAGGUGAGCCUGAUGGUUCCACGUGUGCCUAACACUCAGCGAGGUCGGCAGACUCCUAAGACCUGCUCACCCACCCUGCUCACUGCUGCGUGGAGCUGGGGAGUGCUCACUGGCCCCACUCACUCUGUAUGUGGAGCUGGGGAGUGCAGUGUCCAGUUAGCCUCUUGCAGCCUCUUGCUUCCACUUCCCUCUCCAGAGUCCUCCCUGUGGCCCCAGAGCUCCCUGAUCUAGCCUUUCCUAAAGCUGACUCACCACCUCCUGGAUUCCCAGGCUGGAAUCUGGGGCCAGAGAUGGAGCAUCUCACGUUUUCAAAUGAUGCCCAGAAGCUCACAGACAGCAGGGCUGGCUGGUGGAUGUCUGGGCUCCGCAGGAUUGUGCGAACAGAGGCCUGCUGCUCUCAUCCUCCCGCCCUCCCCAUCAAGACAGGCCUUCUGUCCAUCCUUGGCCUUAGGUGGCCUCUCAGCUCAGCUUCACAAGCCACAGGGGCUUGGGAACGUGCAGGAAGGAGCCAGGCUCAGCUGUACUGAAUAAGCUUCUCCCCACCCCUGCCCCCCACAGACCUGGGCCAGGCUUGCCAGGGAAAUAAAUCAGACUAAUGGACCCAAAUGGGGCCACAGCCAUAGGAGGUGUGGUCCAGACAGCUGCAGCCGCACUGAGGAAUGUUGACCAUCCAGACUGAGACCCAUGGUCAGGUCAGCAUCCAGCCCAGCGCAGUCCAGCAGGUGGGGAGAAGCCCAUGGUGGGACCUGCCCCGGGCCUACGCUGGUCUUCUCAGCAUGCUCCCUGCUGGCCUCUUGCUCUGCCUGUGGCUCUAUAGCCCCUGGCUGGGAGCCAGCACUCACCGCAGCCAAAGCCCGGAGGGAUGGACUCAUGCCAGGAUGCUGGCCCCGUGGCAGGACACCUGGGGAGUCCCUGGGCUCUGGGAGGCCCUCAGGGGGGUGCCCAGGACAGUGACCCCUCGGGAACAUACCUACUGCUCAUUUUUGUUUUGGGGUGUGCUCUGGAGAGCUCCACCUAAUACUCGGGGAGGGGGCUGUAAACCGAAAAACAUGAGAGGUAGGGCUCAGUCGAUCAAGAAGUUUAUUUUGCCAAGGUUGAGGACAUGCCCAGAAGAAAAGCACAUGGAGUCAUAGAAA
Molecule: long non-coding RNA, 3780 nt
Organism: Chlorocebus sabaeus (green monkey)
Lineage: Eukaryota; Metazoa; Chordata; Mammalia; Primates; Cercopithecidae
Source: RefSeq, a predicted model, not a curated record